AGAGUUUGAUCAUGGCUCAGAACGAACGCUGGCGGCAUGGAUUAGGCAUGCAAGUCGAACGCUUGUAGCAAUACAGGAGUGGCGAAAGGGUGAGGAACACGUGAGUAACCUACCCCCAAGUUGGGAAUAACACCGGGAAACUGGUGCUAAUACCGAAUGUGGCUGAUGAACCGCAUGGUUUAUCAGCUAAAGAUUUAUCGCUUGGGGAGGGGCUCGCGUCCCAUUAGCUAGUUGGUGAGGUAACGGCUCACCAAGGCAACGAUGGGUAGCUAGUCUGAGAGGAUGGCCAGCCACACUGGGACUGAGACACUGCCCAGACUCCUACGGGAGGCUGCAGUCGAGAAUCUUGGGCAAUGCGCGAAAGCGUGACCCAGCAAUGCCGCGUGCAGGAUGAAGGCCUUCGGGUUGUAAACUGCUGUCACCCGGGACGAAGAAUGACGGUACCGGGAG
RNAcentral lists this ribosomal RNA (450 nucleotides) under uncultured Lentisphaerota bacterium. Its description in RNAcentral is "bacterial SSU rRNA". It matches the Rfam family "Bacterial small subunit ribosomal RNA", at positions 8 to 484 of the family's 1533-position model. The record is from RNAcentral. Lineage: Bacteria; Pseudomonadati; Lentisphaerota.